This 897-nucleotide ribosomal RNA is filed under the name uncultured Campylobacterota bacterium. RNAcentral describes it as "bacterial SSU rRNA". It matches the Rfam family "Bacterial small subunit ribosomal RNA", at positions 505 to 1398 of the family's 1533-position model. The record is from RNAcentral. Lineage: Bacteria; Pseudomonadati; Campylobacterota.
GUGUCAGCCGCCGCGGUAAUACGGGGGGUGCAAGCGUUACUCGGAAUCACUGGGCGUAAAGAGCAUGUAGGCGGAUAGAUAAGUUGGAAGUGAAAUCCUAUGGCUUAACCAUAGAACUGCUUCCAAAACUGUCUAUCUAGAAUAUGGGAGAGGUAGAUGGAAUUUCUGGUGUAGGGGUAAAAUCCGUAGAGAACAGAAGGAAUACCGAUUGCGAAGGCGAUCUACUGGAACAUUAUUGACGCUCAGAUGCGAAAGCGUGGGGAGCAAACAGGAUUAGAUACCCUGGUAGUCCACGCCCUAAACGAUGCACACUAGUUGUUGCCUUGCUAGACAAGGCAGUAAUGCAGUUAACACAGUAAGUGUGCCGCCUGGGGAGUACGGUCGCAAGAUUAAAACUCAAAGGAAUAGACGGGGACCCGCACAAGCGGUGGAGCAUGUGGUUUAAUUCGACGAUACGCGAAGAACCUUACCUGGCCUUGACAUAGAAAGAACUUACUAGAGAUAGUUUGGUGCUAGCUUGCUAGAACUUUCAUACAGGUGCUGCACGGCUGUCGUCAGCUCGUGUCGUGAGAUGUUGGGUUAAGUCCCSCAACGAGCGCAACCCUCGUGUUUAGUUACUAACAGUUCGGCUGAGGACUCUAGACAGACUGCCUACGCAAGUAGGAGGAAGGUGAGGACGACGUUAAGUCAUCAUGGCCCUUACGGCCAGGGCUACACACGUGCUACAAUGGGGCAUACAAAGAGCCGCAAUACGGUGACGUGGAGCAAAUCUCAUAAAAUGCCUCCCAGUUCGGAUUGUAGUCUGCAACUCGACUACAUGAAGUUGGAAUCGCUAGUAAUCGUAGAUCAGCUAUGCUACGGUGAAUACGUUCCCGGGUCUUGCACUCACCGCCCGUC